GUAAUACGGAGGAUGCAAGCGUAAUCCGGAUUUAUUGGGUUUAAAGGGUGCGCAGGCGGGUUUNUAAGUCAGUGGUGAAAUACUGCCGCUUAACGGUAGAAUUGCCAUUGANACUAGGAAUCUUGAGUGUGGUUGAGGUAGNCGGAAUGUGUAGUGUACCGGUGAAAUGCAUAGAUAUACCACAGAACACCGAUUGCGGAGGCAGCUUACUAAGCCAUAACUGACGCUGAGGCACGAAAGCGUGGGGAGCGAACAGGAUUGGAUACCCUGGUAGUCCACGCUGUAAACGAUGUUCACUCGCUGUUUGCGAUACACAGUAAGCGGCUGAGCGAAAGCAUUAAGUGAACCACCUGGGGAGUACGAUCGCAAGGUUGAAACUCAAAGGAAUUGACGGGGGCCCGCACAAGCGGAGGAACAUGUGGUUUAAUUCGAUGAUACGCGAGGAACCUUACCUGGGCUUAAAUGUAGACUGCAUAGGAUGGAAACAUUCUUUCCCUUCGGGGCUGUUUACAAGGUGCUGCAUGGUUGUCGUCAGCUCGUGCCGCGAGGUGUCGGGUUAAGUCCCAUAACGAGCGCAACCCUUACCGUUAGUUGCCAACAGGUCAAGCUGGGGACUCUAGCGGGACUGCCACCGUAAGGUGAGAGGAAGGUGGGGAUGACGUCAAAUCAGCACGGCCCUUAUGUCCAGGGCUACACACGUGUUACAAUGGCCGGUACAGAGGGCAGCUACCACGCAAGUGGGUGCCAAUCCCGAAAGCCGGUCCCAGUUCGGAUUGGAGUCUGCAACCCGACUUCAUGAAGUUGGAUUCGCUAGUAAUCGCGCAUCAGCCAUGGCGCGGUGAUACGUUCCCGGGCCUUGUACACACCGCCCGUCAAACCAUGGGAGCUGGGGGUGCACUGAAGUCUGUGACCGUUAAGGAGCGGCCUAGGGUAAACCAGUGAC
RNAcentral lists this ribosomal RNA (943 nucleotides) under uncultured organism. RNAcentral describes it as "bacterial SSU rRNA". It matches the Rfam family "Bacterial small subunit ribosomal RNA", at positions 520 to 1475 of the family's 1533-position model. The record is from RNAcentral.